CGCACAUUGCGCCCUUUGGUAUUCCUUAGGGCAUGCCUGUUCGAGCGUCAUUUAAAAUUUCAAGCUCAGCUUGGUGUUGGGUGUUUGUCCCGCCCUGGUGCGCGGACUCGCCUCAAAAGCAUUGGCAGCCGGUACGUUGGCUUUGAGCGCAGCAGAUUUGCGACUCGGUGCCUGGCGGACUGGUUCUCCAGAAGCCCCCUUUAAAGUUUGACCUCGGAUCAGGUAGGGAUACCCGCUGAACUUAA
RNAcentral lists this unclassified non-coding RNA (245 nucleotides) under Preussia sp. (in: ascomycete fungi). Its description in RNAcentral is "Preussia sp. (in: Fungi) partial contains 5.8S ribosomal RNA, internal transcribed spacer 2, and large subunit ribosomal RNA". The record is from RNAcentral. Lineage: Eukaryota; Fungi; Ascomycota; Dothideomycetes; Pleosporales; Sporormiaceae.